RNAcentral lists this ribosomal RNA (1184 nucleotides) under uncultured eukaryote. RNAcentral's name for it is "bacterial SSU rRNA". It matches the Rfam family "Eukaryotic small subunit ribosomal RNA", at positions 396 to 1559 of the family's 1831-position model. The record is from RNAcentral.
CCGCGAGAUGCUCCCAUCUAAGGAGGCAGCAGGCACGCAAAUUACCCAAUCUCGAAGAUGGAGGUAGUGACGAAAAAUAACAAUACAAGACUCGUCCGAGGCCUUGUAAUUGGAAUGAGUAUACUUUAAAACCGUUCCCGGGGAUCUAUUGGAGGGCAAGUCUGGUGCCAGCAGCCGCGGUAAUUCCAGCUCCAAUAGCGUAUCUUAAAGUUGUUGUGGUUAAAAAGCUCGUAGUUGGAUUUCGGCAGGCACAGGUUGGUUUGAAUCGCUUCAACACUGACUUUUUUGCCUGUGUGUUUUGCCAGAGUUUGACAGGUGAUCUUAAUCGAUUGUCCGUUGGAGCUGGCAGGUUUACUUUGAAAAAAUUAGAGUGCUCAAAGCAAGCUUGAUUGCUUGAAUAUUCGUGCAUGGAAUAAUAGAAUAGGAAGUCGUUCCUAUUUUGUUGGUUUUCGGAGAUUGACUUAAUGAUUAAUAGGGAUAGUCGGGGGCAUUUGUAUUCAAACGACAGAGGUGAAAUUCUUGGACCGUUUGAAGACAAACUACUGCGAAAGCAUUUGCCAAGAAUGUUUUCAUUAAUCAAGAACGAAAGUUAGAGGUUCGAAGGCGAUUAGAUACCGCCCUAGUUCUAACCAUAAACGAUGCCAGCUAGCGAUCUGCCGGCGUUUUUUUUCUGACUUGGCAGGGAGCUUCCGGGAAACCAAAGCUUGCGGGUUCCAGGGGAAGUAUGGUUGCAAAGCUGAAACUUAAAGGAAUUGACGGAAGGGCACCACCAGGGGUGGAGCCUGUGGCUUAAUUUUGACUCAGCACGGGAAAUCUCACCAGGCCCGGACACCAGAGGAUUGACAGAUUGAUAGCUCUUUCUUGAUUUGAUGGGUGCUGGUGCAUGGCCGUUCUUAGUUGUGGAAGUGAUUUGUCUGGUUAAUUCCGAUAACGAACGAGACUCUGUCCUGCUAAAUAGAUCCAGCCCUUUCUUUGGGUGACUUUUCUUCUUAGAGGACUGGCGAUAUUAGUCGACCGAGAUUGAACAUACAGUCUGUGAUGGCCUAGAAUCUGGGCCGCACACGCGCUUACCUGAAUGGAUCAGCUAGUUUUCUUUGCCGAACAUCGGUAUCUGCUGAACCAUCCGGGUAGAUAAAGCUGCAAUGUUCUUAUGACGAAUCCAAUAGGGCGUGUACCUAUCCAUA